Molecule: ribosomal RNA, 404 nt
Filed under: Fusobacteriota bacterium
Lineage: Bacteria; Fusobacteriati; Fusobacteriota
Description: Fusobacteria bacterium partial 16S ribosomal RNA
Rfam family: Bacterial small subunit ribosomal RNA
Source: RNAcentral
UGGGGAAUAUUGCACAAUGGAGGGAACUCUGAUGCAGCGACGCCGCGUGAGUGAUGAAGGAAUUCGUUUCGUAAAACUCUGUUCUAUGGGAAGAAAAGGACUGUACCAUAGGAGAAAGCUCCGGCUAAAUACGUGCCAGCAGCCGCGGUAAUACGUAUGGAGCGAGCGUUGUCCGGAAUUAUUGGGCGUAAAGGGUGCGCAGGCGGCUUUACAAGUUGGAUGUGAAAUAUUGUGGCUCAACCACAAACGUGCAUCCAAAACUGCAAAGCUUGAGUUAAGGAGGGGGAAGUGGAAUUCCGGGUGUAGGGGUGGAAGGCGGAGAUAUCAGGAGGAAUACCGGGGGCGAAGGGGACUUACUGGAAUUAAACUGACGGUCAGGCACGAAAGCGUGGGGAGCAAACGGG